UACGUAGGGUGCAAGCGUUAAUCGGAAUUACUGGGCGUAAAGCGUGCGCAGGUGGCUUUGCAAGACAGAUGUGAAAUCCCCGGGCUUAACCUGGGAACUGCAUUUGUGACUGCAUGGCUAGAGUGCGGCAGAGGGGGAUGGAAUUCCGCGUGUAGCAGUGAAAUGCGUAGAUAUGCGGAGGAACACCGAUGGCGAAGGCAGGUCUCUGGGCUGACACUGACGCUCAUGCACGAAAGCGUGGGGAGCAAACAGG
Molecule: ribosomal RNA, 253 nt
Filed under: uncultured bacterium
Lineage: Bacteria
Description: partial 16S ribosomal RNA
Rfam family: Bacterial small subunit ribosomal RNA
Source: RNAcentral